Molecule: ribosomal RNA, 138 nt
Filed under: uncultured bacterium
Lineage: Bacteria
Description: partial 16S ribosomal RNA
Rfam family: Bacterial small subunit ribosomal RNA
Source: RNAcentral
UGGGGAAUAUUGCACAAUGGGGGAAACCCUGAUGCAGCGACGCCGCGUGAGCGAAGAAGUAUCUCGGUAUGUAAAGCUCUAUCAGCAGGGAAGAAGAAUGACGGUACCUGAGUAAGAAGCACCGGCUAAAUACGUGCC